Molecule: ribosomal RNA, 253 nt
Filed under: uncultured bacterium
Lineage: Bacteria
Description: partial 16S ribosomal RNA
Rfam family: Bacterial small subunit ribosomal RNA
Source: RNAcentral
UACGAAUGGAGCAAGCGUUGUUCGGAAUCACUGGGCUUAAAGCGUGCGCAGGCGGUUUUGCAAGUCAGAAGUGAAAGCCUGGGGCUCAACCCCAGAACUGCUUUUGAAACUGCAAAACUAGAAUCCUGGAGAGGUCGGGAGAAUUCCUAGUGUAGAGGUGAAAUUCGCAGAUAUUAGGAGGAAUACCAGUGGCGUAGGCGCCCGACUGGACAGGUAUUGACGAUCAGGCACGAAAGCGUGGGGAGCAAACAGG